Molecule: transfer RNA, 61 nt
Filed under: Mytella strigata
Lineage: Eukaryota; Metazoa; Mollusca; Bivalvia; Mytilida; Mytilidae
Description: Musculus strigatus tRNA-Thr
Source: RNAcentral
UUUCUAGAAGCUUUAAAGAAGCGGCGGUCUUGUAAGUCGUAGAUGCCAGAGGCCUAGAGAU